Molecule: unclassified non-coding RNA, 157 nt
Filed under: uncultured Periconia
Lineage: Eukaryota; Fungi; Ascomycota; Sordariomycetes; Microascales; Halosphaeriaceae
Description: sequence contains ITS2
Source: RNAcentral
ACACCCUCAAGCUCUGCUUGGUGUUGGGCGCCUGUCCCGCUCCCGCAGCGCGGACUCGCCUCAAAGUCAUUGGCGGCGGUCGUGCCGGCCCCUCGCGCAGCACAUAUGCGCUUCUCGGAGGCCCGGCGGAUCAGCGCUCCAGCAAGACACCUUCAUG